UCUGUCCUUGGAGCAUUCAGCAUCCUCUUCCCCUCCGUGCGCUUCCCACAGUGAGUCCACCCCAGCGGGGUCCUGGGGAAGCCACAGGGUCCUGCACCCCCACUUCGCAGUCAGACGUGACUCUCAGCCAGCCAGUAACACAGAGGUUUAUUCGAUGACAGGAACAGGGUCUAAAACAGAGCUUGUAGAUACAGCGAACCGGACCCCUCGGCCGGGUCCAUUCUGGGGGGCAGUGAGCCAGACCCCCAGGUCUGCCCUCCACCCUCGACCCCAGCCAGCUCCAGACUAACAACCCCUCCCAGCCCCUCCUCUCUCCUCAGCCCCUUUCCCGGGCCAGGAGGUCACCUGAUCCCUUUGUCUCCAACACCUUCAGCUGGCACCUUUGCAGAGGAGGGGCCCAGGCCAUCAGUUGCUAGGAGACAGAGUGUCAGGCAUUUAGGUGCACUGGCCCUUUGCUCUGCCAGAUACUUAAGAACUGCCAUGGGGACACUGAGGCACCAACACAGU
This is a long non-coding RNA of Gopherus flavomarginatus (Mexican gopher tortoise), 507 nucleotides long. RefSeq lists it as uncharacterized. The record is from RefSeq and is a predicted model, not a curated record. NCBI's taxonomy places the organism in Eukaryota, Metazoa, Chordata, Testudines, Testudinidae. The transcript is spliced from 3 exons.